AAAAAAAAAAAAGAAACACUAGACAGGAAAGCAGCAAGGAUGUAUAAGAACUUUAAAAAGCCAUCAACCAAAAGAAUCUAAUUAUCACUUGAACCCAGGAGGCGGAGGUUGCAGUGAUCCAAGAUCACGCCACUGCACUCCAGCCUGGGCAACAGAAUGAGACUCCAUCUCAAAAACAAACAAACAAACAAACAAAUUUCUAAUAUUGGUAAUUUGUAUCUUUCUUUUUCUAAAAAAAAUUGGUUAACCUGGCUAGAGAUCUG
Molecule: long non-coding RNA, 263 nt
Filed under: Pan troglodytes (chimpanzee)
Lineage: Eukaryota; Metazoa; Chordata; Mammalia; Primates; Hominidae
Description: long non-coding RNA NONPTRT009263
Source: RNAcentral